Molecule: ribosomal RNA, 468 nt
Filed under: uncultured bacterium
Lineage: Bacteria
Description: partial 16S ribosomal RNA
Rfam family: Bacterial small subunit ribosomal RNA
Source: RNAcentral
GACGAACGCUGGCGGCGUGCUUAACACAUGCAAGUCGAACGGAAAGGCCCUGCCUUUGUGGGGUGCUCGAGUGGCGAACGGGUGAGUAACACGUGAGUAACCUGCCCUUGACUUUGGGAUAACUUCAGGAAACUGGGGCUAAUACCGGAUAGGAGCUCCUGCUGCAUGGUGGGGGUUGGAAAGUUUCGGCGGUUGGGGAUGGACUCGCGGCUUAUCAGCUUGUUGGUGGGGUAGUGGCUUACCAAGGCUUUGACGGGUAGCCGGCCUGAGAGGGUGGCCGGCCACAUUGGGACUGAGAUACGGCCCAGACUCCUACGGGAGGCAGCAGUGGGGAAUAUUGCACAAUGGGCGGAAGCCUGAUGCAGCAACGCCGCGUGCGGGAUGACGGCCUUCGGGUUGUAAACCGCUUUCGCCUGUGACGAAGCGUGAGUGACGGUAAUGGGUAAAGAAGCACCGGCUAACUACGUG